GAGUUUGAUCAUGGCUCAGAGCGAACGUUAGCGGCGGGCUUAACACAUGCAAGUCGAACGAGAAUGAAGGCUUCGGCCUUCUAGUAAAGUGGCGGACGGGUGCGUAACACGUGGGUAAUGUACCUUCCAGCGGGGGACAACCGUCCGAAAGGAUGGCUAAUACCGCGUACGUCGGCGAGGGCUACGGUCCAUGCCGGGAAAGAUGGCCUCUCCUUGGAAGCUAUCACUGGAAGAUCAACCCGCGGCCCAUCAGCUAGUUGGUGAGGUAACGGCUCACCAAGGCUAAGACGGGUAGCUGGUCUGAGAGGAUGAUCAGCCACACUGGGACUGCGACACGGCCCAGACUCCUACGGGAGGCAGCAGUGGGGAAUAUUGGGCAAUGGGCGAAAGCCUGACCCAGCCACGCCGCGUGAGUGAUGAAGGCCUUCGGGUCGU
RNAcentral lists this ribosomal RNA (435 nucleotides) under uncultured delta proteobacterium. Its description in RNAcentral is "bacterial SSU rRNA". It matches the Rfam family "Bacterial small subunit ribosomal RNA", at positions 9 to 426 of the family's 1533-position model. The record is from RNAcentral. Lineage: Bacteria; Deltaproteobacteria.